Molecule: ribosomal RNA, 253 nt
Filed under: uncultured bacterium
Lineage: Bacteria
Description: partial 16S ribosomal RNA
Rfam family: Bacterial small subunit ribosomal RNA
Source: RNAcentral
UACGAAGGGGGCUAGCGUUGCUCGGAAUUACUGGGCGUAAAGCGCACGUAGGCGGUCUUUUAAGUCGGGGGUGAAAUCCUGGAGCUCAACUCCAGAACUGCCUUCGAUACUGGCGAUCUUGAGUCCGGAAGAGGUGAGUGGAACUCCUAGUGUAGAGGUGGAAUUCGUAGAUAUUAGGAAGAACACCAGUGGCGAAGGCGGCUCACUGGUCCGGUACUGACGCUGAGGUGCGAAAGCGUGGGGAGCAAACAGG